RNAcentral lists this ribosomal RNA (433 nucleotides) under uncultured bacterium. RNAcentral describes it as "partial 16S ribosomal RNA". It matches the Rfam family "Bacterial small subunit ribosomal RNA", at positions 29 to 507 of the family's 1533-position model. The record is from RNAcentral.
AACGAACGCUGGCGGCAUGCCUAACACAUGCAAGUCGAACGAGACCUUCGGGUCUAGUGGCGCACGGGUGCGUAACGCGUGGGAACCUGCCCUUAGGUUCGGAAUAACUCCCCGAAAGGGGUGCUAAUACCGGAUAAUGUCUUCGGACCAAAGAUUUAUCGCCUUUGGAUGGGCCCGCGUUGGAUUAGCUAGUUGGUAGGGUAAAAGCCUACCAAGGCGACGAUCCAUAGCUGGUCUGAGAGGAUGAUCAGCCACACUGGGACUGAGACACGGCCCAGACUCCUACGGGAGGCAGCAGUGGGGAAUAUUGGCCAAUGGGCGAAGGCCUGAUCCAGCAAUGCCGCGUGAGUGCUGAAGGCCUUAGGGUUGUAAAGCUCUUUUACCCGGGAUGAUAAUGACAGUACCGGGAGAAUAAGCUCCGGCUAACUCCGUG